This 2834-nucleotide long non-coding RNA is filed under the name Homo sapiens (human). RNAcentral describes it as "HSALNT0183351". Lineage: Eukaryota; Metazoa; Chordata; Mammalia; Primates; Hominidae. The record is from RNAcentral.
GGAGAAGCAGGAGAGACCUCGUGAGUACCAGCAUACUGGAGUGAAGCAGCCGCAAGCCAAGGAACGCCUGGAGCCACCAGAAGCAGGAAGAGGCAGGGGAAGGUUCUCCCUCAGAGCCUUUGGAGGGAGCACACCCUACUGAAACCCAGAGUUUAGAUUUCUGGCCUCCAGAACUGUGAGAAUAUCAAUUUCUGUCAUUUAAAGUCAGCAGGUUUGUGGUAAUUUGUUGCAGUAAGCCCAGGAAACAGAUGCACCCCUUCCCCUUUCCCCUUUCUAGCUCCUCAUCUUUUCCUUAGGAGGAGCAAACCUGUCCCAUGCAGGGUGGUUUUCCAUUUUCUGUGUUUAUAGGGUCUUACCCUCUAUUUGUGUUUCCCCCGUCAUGGUCCAUUUGGGCUGCUAUAACAAACUACCAUAGACAGGGUGGCUCUUAAACGUCAGAAAUGUAUUUCUCACAGCUCUGGAGGCUGGCAGGCCAAGAUGAAAGCACUGGCAGAUUCGGUGUCUGGUGAGGGCUGCUUCCUGGCUCACAGAUGGCAUCCUCUCCUGCGUCCUCACAUGGCAGGAAAAUGCCCUCUAUGAGAAGAAUUCUGAUGCCAACACCAAUCCAUUUCUGAAAUCUACUUCGAUUCAUCUCUUGGGUCUUUUGAACCUGUUCUCCCCCCAGUGAUGCUGUGUUGAGGGCAGAGGUGCGCUCAACAUUGAAUGAGACCACAUUCAGGCUGCAGUGAUUGUGCCCUAAAGAGUUCAAGACAUGAUUGGAGGAAGCCCUGUUCUAUGUUUUUGCUAUUAAAUUCUGAAUGGAAGAAUGUAUGUGAGUAGAUUCUGAAGGAGUGGGACCCGGGAAGAUGGAAUAAAAGAUUAGAUCAGGCAGAAUUAAUUAAUAUUGGAGCAGUCACCUGGGAUUCUAGAUUUAAUAUAUUGACUCAGACGACUAUGAAGUGAUACUUAACUGAAGCCUGGAUUCAACAAUGACCUACAACAGGGUUUCUCAAAAUUUAACAUGCAGAAGAAUCACUUGAUGAUCUUGUUGAAAUGCAGAUUCUGAUUCUCGAGGACUACGGUGAGCCUGGGGUUGUGUGUUUCAAACAAGGUCUAAUUCAUGGAUCAUACUCAAGUAGCAAAACCCUAAAAUCAAUAAUGUAGAGAAAGGAGUCUAAAGGCUCCGGAGACGGGACUGUUGGAAUGGACUUAACAUGAGCAGCUUGCUCAGCCACUACUUAACCAUCUCCCCAGGAAGUCCUAGAGGACAUCCCCUUCAUUAAGAUAUAAAACUGCAUUGCUCAAGAGAGCAUCAGAAUUACUGAAAGUGUUGUGGCUAUCUGCCAUAGGUCAGAGAUCAUGGUGGGCAGAUGUUGCAAUGAAGUUGAGUUCCCUGAUUUCAGUGGAAAUAAUGGGUGAUGGUAUGGUAGAGCCCUGGUGGUGAUGCUUAGCCAUCAAAAACAUGUUUAUACAAAAUUAUCAUUAUAUGCUGCUGGAAUAAAGGCUGCCAUGGUCUGAAUGUUUGUGUCUCCUCAAAAUUUAAAUGUUAAAACCCUAGCCCCCAAGGUAAUGGUACUAGGAGUAGGGCCUUUGGAAGGUGAGUAGGUCAUGAGGGAGGAGUCCUCAUGAAUGGGAUUGUGCCCUUAUAAAACAGGCCUGAGAGAGGACCUCUGGCUUCUUCUGCCAUGUGAGGACACAGAAAGAAGGAGCUGUUUAUGAAGCCUGGCCCUCACCAGACACUGAAUCUCCUGGCACCUUGACCUUGGACUUCCCAGCCCCUAAAACUAUGAAAAAUAAAUAUCUGUUUUUUAUAAGACACCAAGUCUGUAUAAUUUUGUUACAGCAGCUUAAAUGGACUAAGAUGGGGUGAUCUAUAUUUUUACUCACAUGGAUCUAAAUGAUGGCAAAUAGAUCAAGGACGCAAAGGAAUAGAAUGGCUAGGCAGUCUGCCAAAGUGCUAAUUGAAAUGUAAAAGUGGAAGUAUUCUAAGUCUAGUAGACAAAAAUAGAAAUCAAGACAUUGUAAUAGGGUUUCAUAGUCUCUUACCCAAUUAUCAGACGUAAGUCUGUUCAAAAAGACUUGGAGUCUCCCGAUUGAGGAGAAAGUUGAGCCCCUUUGGGAAAGGGUGCUUGAGUGUUAUCACAUGUAUAUAUUGUAAAUAUUUCUUCAUGUCUUUCCCCAAGAAACCAGCAUCCAUUUACCAGAGUGACUGCACUGAUGACAGAGAAAUAAGCAGAACAUUUGGGUAUUCUUGGACAGUGACUUUGAGCUGAUUCUAAUCUCUAGAGUUCCAUAAAUGCCUCGGAGUUCAUUGGCAAGAGUGAAGACUUAUGAAUGUUAGGUGAUAGAUGGACUCCUGACUCAAACUCAUCUCAAUAAAUUAAGGAACCUAACCUACUGUCAUUCCUACGCCAGACUGUAUAGUGUAACUUAGAAAUGCGUAGUAACCAGCAGAAUCUCCAUAUUGGUUCUCUGAUCUGUGGAGUGAGAGCUGUUAGGUUAAGAAGCACCAAAAAGGGGUCCUUGAAACUGACUUUCUAUAGGGGAAUUUCAGAUAUAUUUCCUCCACUAAGAACUUUUAAAAGGCAGGAGGUAGUGAUUCCUAUGGCAUCACCCUUUAAUGAACAUGUUUUGCUGGUGAAAGAGCUAUGUGGGUCUUUGAGGAUGACUGUGGAUUAUUUCAGACUUAAUCAUGUGGUAACUCCAAUUCAAGCUGCUGUUCUUAAUGUGGAAUAUUUACUGGUGAAAGUCAACAGAACUUCUGGCACCUGGUAUACAGCUAUUGACCUAGCAGAUAUUUUCUAUUCUUUUUUUUUAAACAUGAAAUUUACCAUUUUAAUGAUUUUAAAAUGCAC